Molecule: long non-coding RNA, 394 nt
Filed under: Solanum lycopersicum (tomato)
Lineage: Eukaryota; Viridiplantae; Streptophyta; Magnoliopsida; Solanales; Solanaceae
Description: long non-coding RNA (SLYC_LNC001203)
Source: RNAcentral
AGCCAGCAAGAGCUGAGACUGAAGCACCAGUUGAGGUAACUUCAAGUAGAAUGUCAUAUUCAAGAUUCUUGGAUUACUUGAAUCAAGGUGCUGUCAAGAAAGUUGAUUUCUUUGAGAACAGUGCUGUUGCUGAGAUAUUGAUCAAUCCUGCUCUUAACAAAGUCCAGAGAGUUAAAAUUCAGUUGCCAGGAUUGCCACCAGAAUUGGUGAGAAAACUUAAAGACAAGAAUGUAGAUUUUGCUGCUCAUCUACCUGAAAAGAAUGUAAUUGGACCACUUCUUGAUUUGCUUGGGAAUUUAGCUUUUCCAUUGAUAUUGCUUGGUUAUUUACUGUUGAGAAGCUCUUCAAAUACCCCUGGAGGGCCAAACUUGCCUUUUGGAUUAGGAAGGUAUGC